GAUGAACGCUGGCGGCAUGCCUAAUACAUGCAAGUCGAGCGAACGGACGAGAAGCUUGCUUCUCUGAUGUUAUCGGCGGACGGAUGCGUCACACGUGGAUAACCUACCUAUCAGACUGGGAUGACUUCGGGAAACCGGAGCUAAUACCGGAUGAUAUUUUGAACCGCAUGGUUCCAAAGUUGAAGAAGGUCUUGCUUUCGGUUAUAGAUGGAUCCGCGCUUCAUUGGCUAGUUGGUAAGGUAACGGCUUACCAAGGCAACGAGGGAUAGCCGACCUCAGAGGGUGAUCGGCCACACGGGAACUGAGACACGGCACAGACUCCGACGGGAGGCAGCAGUAGGGACUCUUACGCGAUGGGCGAAAGCGGGACGGAGCAAAGCCGCGUGAGUGAUGAAGGUGUUCGGAUGGGAGAACUAUGUUAGUAGGGAAGAACAUAUGCGCAAGUAACUGUGAACAUCUUGACGGUACCUAGUCAGAAAGCCACGGCUAACUACGUG
Molecule: ribosomal RNA, 497 nt
Filed under: uncultured bacterium
Lineage: Bacteria
Description: partial 16S ribosomal RNA
Rfam family: Bacterial small subunit ribosomal RNA
Source: RNAcentral